This 29-nucleotide non-coding RNA is filed under the name Homo sapiens (human). The record is from RNAcentral. Lineage: Eukaryota; Metazoa; Chordata; Mammalia; Primates; Hominidae.
UGGCCUUUGUGAAACCCUGGAAAUACCAC